AGAGUUUGAUCCUGGCUCAGAACGAACGCUGGCGGCAGGCUUAACACAUGCAAGUCGAACGCCCCGCAAGGGGAGUGGCAGACGGGUGAGUAACGCGUGGGAACGUACCCUUCGGUUCGGAAUAACCCAGGGAAACUUGGGCUAAUACCGGAUACGUCCGCAAGGAGAAAGGUUUACUGCCGAAGGAUCGGCCCGCGUCGGAUUAGCUAGUUGGUGGGGUAACGGCCCACCAAGGCGACGAUCCGUAGCUGGUCUGAGAGGAUGAUCAGCCACACUGGGACUGAGACACGGCCCAGACUCCUACGGGAGGCAGCAGUGGGGAAUAUUGGACAAUGGGCGAAAGCCUGAUCCAGCCAUGCCGCGUGAGUGAAGAAGGCCCUAGGGUUGUAAAGCUCUUUCAGCGGGGACGAUAAUGACGGUACCCGCAGAAGAAGCCCCGGCUAACUUCGUGCCAGCAGCCGCGGUAAUACGAAGGGGGCUAGCGUUGUUCGGAUUUACUGGGCGUAAAGCGCGCGUAGGCGGAUUGUUAAGUCAGGGGUGAAAUCCCAGGGCUCAACCCUGGAACUGCCUUUGAUACUGGCAAUCUGGAGAUCGGGAGAGGUUGGUGGAAUUCCGAGUGUAGAGGUGAAAUUCGUAGAUAUUCGGAGGAACACCAGAAGCGAAGGCGGCCAACUGGCCCGAUACUGACGCUGAGGCGCGAAAGCGUGGGGAGCAAACAGGAUUAGAUACCCCGGUAGUCCACGCCGUAAACGAUGAAUGCCA
Molecule: ribosomal RNA, 762 nt
Filed under: uncultured bacterium
Lineage: Bacteria
Description: bacterial SSU rRNA
Rfam family: Bacterial small subunit ribosomal RNA
Source: RNAcentral